AGUUACAAAAUGGCACUUGAGUCCGUUGUUUAUAAUUUUAUUAAUUUAAAAACAAAUAUAUUUAGAAUAUUCAUAAUGAGGGUGUGAAAAUAUGACAAAACAAAUAAUUAGUUGCUGAAAAUCAACUUUACAAUGAACAUUAGUGCAUACUAGAGAUUAUUGUUGCCAUUACUGAUCGAUGAAUUAACUUCGGAUCAACUUAAUCAUUAUUUGAAGAGGGCUUAAACUACUCACUGACAGUUAGUUAGCUGUCACUCGUCAAAUUUUUUCGACGAAAUUAUUCAAAUAACAAUAUAAAUAAAUAUUUGGUUAGAAUUAAUUGAAAAUUAUAAAAUAAUCAACUAUUAGGGACGGUAAGUUGUUAUUAUCGUUUUAUAUAAUGGAUGAACCCUGUAUACGAGAGGUUAGAAUGAAUGUACUCACUAUAUUUCGAUUGAGAAUCGGAUUGUCCAUACAGUUGUGUCCUAAAAAGUUGAAUACACUAUAAUCUUGAAAAGUUUUACAAACUUUUAUGGAAGAAACGAAUAGUAUCGAAAGUGGCAAAAUAAAAACAAAACUUAAAAUGUAUUUUCUCAUUAUUUUACGCAGAAAACUGAAUCGUUUCACUUAACAAUUAUAUCUAAAUUGCCAGUUAUAUAUUAUCACUUAUUUAUUCCAGUAAUAACUUUCGUUUAAAAAAAAAAAAAGGUUUUCCGAUAACCUUGUGCAUAAAAAAAUAUAUUUAUUUUUUUAUAUUUUCCAAAAAACGAUCAAGGAAAGCCAGUAAUUUAUGAGCAUAUAUUAAAUACCUUAAAAAAUCUUAUUAUAAUUAACUGUAUCGUUUGUUGGUGGAAAUCGUUUUUUUUUUUUUUCAAACAACAACUUAUAUUUAAUGAGUUUGUUUUCUAAUUAGAUCGAAAAAUUAUUUUGUUUAUUGUUUUUUCUACGUAGGAGUGGUCACUUUCAACUAAUAACUGUCACUCCGUCUAUAGAAACCAUUACGUGUAUCAAAUCAUAAAGUACAGAAUUAUAACACUAGAUGGCAGUAGAGGGUUAUGAAUAAUGCACUUUUAAAUAAUUCUCGAAACAUUAUUUAAAACGAUAAUAACGUUAUAAUUAUUAUUCCUCGUAUUAGUUCUCAAUUAUUUACUUGGCAUAUUUCUUUGUAUUAUCGUAAUUUUGAAAACCUCCCACCAUCUAUAUGUCAAAAUAAAUACUUAUCGUUUCUAAUACUAGAUGGCGACUAAACUAUAGGAAAAAUAUUUUAUACAGCUUAAACUGAACAAUGAUUAAUCGUUUCAUCAAUUAAUUAAAAGCUUCAAUUACU
This is a long non-coding RNA of Diorhabda sublineata, 1306 nucleotides long. RefSeq lists it as uncharacterized. The record is from RefSeq and is a predicted model, not a curated record. The transcript is spliced from 2 exons. Lineage: Eukaryota; Metazoa; Arthropoda; Insecta; Coleoptera; Chrysomelidae.